GGAGGAAGGAAGCAUGGUAUGGCGCACAGAGAUCAAACUAAAAGGGUCAUCAUGUCUGCUCGCAUUGAUACCUUCGGGAUUUGAUCUCGCGGGCCUGGAUUCGACCCACAUUG
Small nucleolar RNA from Zingiber officinale, 113 nucleotides. RefSeq annotates it as small nucleolar RNA snoR100. Lineage: Eukaryota; Viridiplantae; Streptophyta; Magnoliopsida; Zingiberales; Zingiberaceae. The transcript has a single exon. The record is from RefSeq and is a predicted model, not a curated record.